GUCCUAGCCGUAAACGAUGAACACUAGGCGUAGUCGGUAUCGACCCCGGCUGUGCCGUAGCUAACGCAUUAAGUGUUCCGCCUGGGGAGUACGGCCGCAAGGCUAAAACUCAAAGGAAUUGACGGGGGCCCGCACAAGCAGCGGAGCGUGUGGUUUAAUUCGUCGAAACGCGAAGAACCUUACCAGGGCUUGACAUGCACCGGAAAGCGGCGGAAAACGUCGUCCUCCCGCAAGGGAUCGGUGUGCAGGUGUUGCAUGGCUGUCGU
Molecule: ribosomal RNA, 266 nt
Filed under: uncultured bacterium
Lineage: Bacteria
Description: partial 16S ribosomal RNA
Rfam family: Bacterial small subunit ribosomal RNA
Source: RNAcentral